This 439-nucleotide ribosomal RNA is filed under the name uncultured bacterium. RNAcentral describes it as "partial 16S ribosomal RNA". It matches the Rfam family "Bacterial small subunit ribosomal RNA", at positions 339 to 795 of the family's 1533-position model. The record is from RNAcentral.
CUACGGGCCGCUGCAGUGAGGAAUAUUGCACAAUGGGGGGAACCCUGAUGCAGCAACGCCGCGCGGAGGAUGACGCAUUUCGGUGUGUAAACUCCUUUUAUAUGUCAAGAAAAUGACGGUAGCAUAUGAAUAAGCACCGGCUAACUCCGUGCCAGCAGCCGCGGUAAUACGGAGGGUGCAAGCGUUACUCGGAAUCACUGGGCGUAAAGGACGCGUAGGCGGGUUGGAAAGUCAGGUGUGAAAUCCUACAGCUUAACUGUAGAACUGCACUUGAAACUUCUAAUCUAGAGUAUGGGAGGGGGAGAUGGAAUUAGUGGUGUAGGGGUAAGAUCCGUAGAUAUCACUAGGAAUACCUAAAGCGAAGGCGAUCUCCUGGAACAUUACUGACGCUAAGGCGUGAAAGCGUGGGGAGCAAACAGGAUUAGAUACCCCUGUAGUC